UUGAGGAUAAAUUAUGUCUAAUAUUCAAACUGGCGCCGAGCGUAUGCCGCAUGACCUUUCCCAUCUUGGCUUCCUUGCUGGUCAGAUUGGUCGUCUUAUUACCAUUUCAACUACUCCGGUUAUCGCUGGCGACUCCUUCGAGAUGGACGCCGUUGGCGCUCUCCGUCUUUCUCCAUUGCGUCGUGGCCUUGCUAUUGACUCUACUGUAGACAUUUUUACU
Molecule: ribosomal RNA, 220 nt
Filed under: uncultured prokaryote
Description: partial 16S ribosomal RNA
Source: RNAcentral